AAAGAAAGGGUUACCAGACAUGGAAAACGAAGAGACAAGGAAGAGUCUCUGGAGUGCAGGGUUCCCGUUGAGCAUAGUGCAGAGCUGCUUUAAGCUGACUGAGAGGCACAGAGACAGACACCCUGUUGAAUGCCUGGGUGUCAGAGGGAGCCGCUGUCCUCCUGUGCAUCGUUUUGCCUGCAAACCGUGUCACACACAAAUCUGUCCUCUCUCAUUUCCAGAAUGGUGUGAAGUGUGUAGGAGCACUCAGUCUUCAUGGUCAGAGACCAUUUUAUGGACAAGUAAAUUCACUAUCUGAGCCAUAUGGUGGGCUGUAGUCUGUUAGGACUGCACCAUAUUUCUUUGGGCAGUGACAGUUUUUAUAUCCUUUUCUUGUCAAGGAUCUUCACACACUGGCACACACAGAAGCAAUCAAUCUCACUACGAUAUCAGCAGCAGUAUACCACGUGUUUGUCUGAUUUGAUGAGGCAGGUCCCUUAAUCUACUGACUUUUAUUUAUCCACUUACCUUGCAUAUGUUGCCAUUUGUUUUUAGCUCUAACUGCUGACUUUAGAACAAGUUGCUUCUUGUGGAUGAUGAAUUCAUCAUUUUCUUACUGUAGCUUGUCCCUCAUCCAUAAUUUACAGAAGUAAAAGCAACUGCUGCACUCCAUCUUGCCAUAUAUUUUUUUUUACUGUACAUCAAAUAAAGUAGUUUUGAAUGUUUGAUAGAAGAUGUUAACUUUGAUCUCCAGAGGCUCAUUAAAACUCUACGAUACG
Molecule: long non-coding RNA, 758 nt
Organism: Siniperca chuatsi (mandarin fish)
Lineage: Eukaryota; Metazoa; Chordata; Actinopteri; Centrarchiformes; Sinipercidae
Exons: 2
Source: RefSeq, a predicted model, not a curated record